GCACUUUGCCAACUCGUACGAGGAAGUAUAAGGUGUGACGCCUGCCCGGUGCUCGAAGGUUAAGAGGAUGCGUCAGUCGCAAGAUGAAGCGUUGAAUUGAAGCCCGAGUAAACGGCGGCCGUAACUAUAACGGUCCUAAGGUAGCGAAAUUCCUUGUCGGUUAAAUACCGACCUGCAUGAAUGGCGUAACGAGAUGGGAGCUGUCUCAACCAGAGAUUCAGUGAAAUUGUAGUGGAGGUGAAAAUUCCUCCUACCCGCGGCAAGACGGAAAGACCCCGUGGACCUUUACUACAACUUAGCACUGCUAAUGGGAAUAUCAUGCGCAGGAUGUGGGAGGCUUUGAAUUAAGGGCUUUGGCUCUUAUGGAGCCAUCCUUGAGAUACCACCCUUCCUGUGU
Molecule: ribosomal RNA, 397 nt
Filed under: Helicobacter pylori
Lineage: Bacteria; Pseudomonadati; Campylobacterota; Epsilonproteobacteria; Campylobacterales; Helicobacteraceae
Description: bacterial LSU rRNA
Rfam family: Bacterial large subunit ribosomal RNA
Source: RNAcentral